UCUCUCUCUCUCUCUCUCUCAAGAGGAAAAUAAAAACCACCAUCCCGCGCCGCACCGGAGGAUGAUGUUGAGCAAAGCCAAGAUGAACGGGGGGCCACUUCAAGGUUGAACGCCUUCUCCUUUCUGUGGUUAGAUUCGAAUUUCUCGAAGUCAGGUUUCGAUCAUGAGAGUUUCGAGCAGAGGAGUAAAAGAAAAGGUUAAGAAAGAAUCAAGUGGAUGAAGAAGAAGAAGUAGAGAGACAGAGUAAGCGGAUAAAUG
RNAcentral lists this unclassified non-coding RNA (258 nucleotides) under Hevea brasiliensis (rubber tree). Lineage: Eukaryota; Viridiplantae; Streptophyta; Magnoliopsida; Malpighiales; Euphorbiaceae. The record is from RNAcentral.